Molecule: ribosomal RNA, 253 nt
Filed under: uncultured bacterium
Lineage: Bacteria
Description: partial 16S ribosomal RNA
Rfam family: Bacterial small subunit ribosomal RNA
Source: RNAcentral
UACGGAGGGAGCUAGCGUUGUUCGGAAUUACUGGGCGUAAAGCGCGCGUAGGCGGCCUUGCAAGUUAGAGGUGAAAGCCCGGAGCUCAACUCCGGAACUGCCUUUAAAACUGCAUAGCUUGAAUCCGGGAGAGGUGAGUGGAAUUCCGAGUGUAGAGGUGAAAUUCGUAGAUAUUCGGAAGAACACCAGUGGCGAAGGCGGCUCACUGGACCGGUACUGACGCUGAGGUGCGAAAGCGUGGGGAGCAAACAGG